CUUCUUCUUCUUCUUCUUCUUCUUCUUGAUAGGCUUCAGUUUCAGAUUGUGGGUCAUCUUGAGCCGUUACGUUAUCAUCUUGGGCUACUUCAAAGCUUUCAAAGGCGGCGAAAGCAGGGUGAAAAUGAUGGGGGAAGAGGAGAGAAAGAGGAUUGCGGAAAUGGAUGUUGAGUUUGAAGAGUUUUAAGGGUUUAAAGGGCUUUGAUAAGUAGUGGGUAGGGAGUGGAAGUGGAGAAGAAGUGAACGAGAGGUUGGAGAUCUUGGUGUGAAGUGAAGAAGAAGAAACAGUGGAGGUUGCCAUGGAAAGAGCUGACAUUUCUGCCGGAAAGAUAUUGUGGGUUGGAAAAAAAAAUAGAGAAGGAAAUGUUAAGAGAGGAAAUGAGUGGUGGAUAAGGUUCUUAAUUGGUGCAGGUGUAAGAGUUUCUG
This 426-nucleotide unclassified non-coding RNA is filed under the name Hevea brasiliensis (rubber tree). The record is from RNAcentral. Lineage: Eukaryota; Viridiplantae; Streptophyta; Magnoliopsida; Malpighiales; Euphorbiaceae.